GACGAACGCUGGCGGCGUGCUUAACACAUGCAAGUCGAACGGAAAGGCCCCUUUGGGGGUACUCGAGUGGCGAACGGGUGAGUAACACGUGAGUAACCUGCCCUUGACUUCGGGAUAACGUCAGGAAACUGGGGCUAAUACCGGAUAGGAAUCCUUUCUUCAUGGUGGUGGUUGGAAAGCUUCGGCGGUUUUGGAUGGACUGGCGGCUUAUCAGCUUGUUGGUGGGGUAGUGGCUUACCAAGGCGUUGACGGGUAGCCGGACUGAGAGGGCGACCGGCCACAUUGGGACUGAGAUACGGCACAGACUCCUACGGGAGGGAGCAGUGGGGAAUAUUGCACAAUGGGCGGAAGCCUGAUGCAGAAACGCCGCGUGCGGGAUGACGGCCUUCGGGUUGUAAAACGCUUUCAGCAGGGGCGAAGCUUGUGGUGACGGUACCUGCAGAAGAAGCACCGGCUAACUACGUG
Molecule: ribosomal RNA, 465 nt
Filed under: uncultured bacterium
Lineage: Bacteria
Description: partial 16S ribosomal RNA
Rfam family: Bacterial small subunit ribosomal RNA
Source: RNAcentral